GGGCCUAUACUCUGCCGUCAGCGGCAAGCGAGGCGGCAGAAUUCGUUUUCCGUCAUGAAGUCCUGACGAGUAGGAGGGUCGCGGCGGUGUGCGCAGAAGGGUCUGGGCGCGAGCCUGCCUGGAGCCGCCGUCGGUGCAGAUCUUGGUGGUAGUAGCAAAUACUCCAGCGAGGCCCUGGAGGACUGACGUGGAGAAGGGUUUCGUGUGAACAGCCGUUGCACACGAGUCAGUCGAUCCUAAGCCCUAGGAGAAAUCCUAUGUUGAUGCGGUGUAUCAAGUCACAAAGUGUAAUAAUAUAUUUAUAUAUAAAAUACUUAUAAAAUUACGACACACACCCAUCGGGCGAAAGGGAAUCCGGUUCCUAUUCCGGAACCCGGCAGCGGAACCGUAUACAAUUCGGGCCCUCGCAAGAGAGUUCGUCGGGGUAACCCAAAAUGACCUGGAGACGCCGUCGGGAGAUCCGGGAAGAGUUUUCUUUUCUGUAUAAGCGUUCGAGUUCCCUGGAAACCUCUAGCAGGGAGAUAGGGUUUGGAACGCGAAGAGCACCGCAGUUGCGGCGGUGUCCGGAUCUUCCCCUCGGACCUUGAAAAUCCAGGAGAGGGCCACGUGGAGGUGUCGCGCCGGUUCGUACCCAUAUCC
Molecule: ribosomal RNA, 639 nt
Filed under: Habronyx elegans
Lineage: Eukaryota; Metazoa; Arthropoda; Insecta; Hymenoptera; Ichneumonidae
Description: eukaryotic LSU rRNA
Rfam family: Eukaryotic large subunit ribosomal RNA
Source: RNAcentral